This 106-nucleotide ribosomal RNA is filed under the name Prolemur simus (greater bamboo lemur). The record is from RNAcentral. Lineage: Eukaryota; Metazoa; Chordata; Mammalia; Primates; Lemuridae.
GUCUAAGGCCAUACCACCCUGAACGCGCCCGAUCUCGUCUGAUUUCAGAAGCUAAGCAGGGUCGGGCCUGGUUAGUACUUGGAUGGGAGAAUACCAGAAAGAGAAA